GACGAACGCUGGCGGCGUGCUUAACACAUGCAAGUCGAACGGAAAGGCCCUGCUUUUGUGGGGUGCUCGAGUGGCGAACGGGUGAGUAACACGUGAGUAACCUGCCCUUGACUUUGGGAUAACUUCAGGAAACUGGGGCUAAUACCGGAUAGGAGCUCCUGCUGCAUGGUGGGGGUUGGAAAGUUUCGGCGGUUGGGGAUGGACUCGCGGCUUAUCAGCUUGUUGGUGGGGUAGUGGCUUACCAAGGCUUUGACGGGUAGCCGGCCUGAGAGGGUGACCGGCCACAUUGGGACUGCGAUACGGCGCAGACUCCUGCGGGAGGCAGCAGUGGGGAAUAUUGCACAAUGGGCGGAAGCCUGAUGCAGCAACGCCGCGUGCGGGAUGACGGCCUUCGGGUUGUAAACCGCUUUCGCCUGUGACGAAGCGUGAGUGACGGUAAUGGGUAAAGAAGCACCGGCUAACUACGUG
Molecule: ribosomal RNA, 468 nt
Filed under: uncultured bacterium
Lineage: Bacteria
Description: partial 16S ribosomal RNA
Rfam family: Bacterial small subunit ribosomal RNA
Source: RNAcentral